This is an RNA transcript of Arachis stenosperma, 2179 nucleotides long. It is a transcript of the gene named CASP-like protein 1E1, with no coding region annotated. The transcript is spliced from 2 exons. Lineage: Eukaryota; Viridiplantae; Streptophyta; Magnoliopsida; Fabales; Fabaceae. The record is from RefSeq and is a predicted model, not a curated record.
UUGUAUUGUGACUCAAACUAAUUUUUAGUUUUUUGCAGAGAAAGAGAGGAUGGCUCUAUGCAUAUUGUCAAUUGAUAUGAUGGGGGUUCUAAUGGCGUUGGUUAUUGCUCUAACUCUCAUGCUCAUAUGUUCUUCUCCUCCUAGAAGGGUUGUCGUUCAUCGUUACCCUUAUUACUAACUAAUUAGCCACACUUACAAUUAAUUGAGUCUCUGCAUCGGCUAAAAUCAUGUAAUUCGUUUUCGGAAAAACACAGAGACACUAAUAAGGUACACAACUUAUUUUUCAUUCUUUUUUCAUUCUUUUUGUUAAUUUUUUAUAAUUAUAUCUGUUUAUUAUUAUAUUUUCCAUCUCAAAUUUUUUGAAUAAAAAAAAAUGAGAAUAAAUUAGAUUUUUAUAAUUUGUUUUAGUUUAUCACCAAACAAAAUAUAAGAACACAAAAUUUUGUAUUUGUGUCCAUCAGUGUCUUAUCAUGUCUUGUUCUCAAUGUCUUGUUCUAUCAUGUUCUCAUAAACAAACGUAGCCUUAUCUACUUUAGUCUUAGACUAUUUUUUCUUAGGUGUGUUACUGUGUUUUAUGUUAUUUUAUUUGUUAAUCGAGCAAGGUGAAACGGUUAAAUUAACAAGUAGUGAAUUUUAUGGUGCCUAUAACUUGAUGCCUAAUUUUUGCCCAACUUACUUCUUAUGGCAAUUUUUGAAUAUUUAAUAAUUAUUUACUUUUAUACUUUUAAAAUUAAAUAUUAAUUUUUAACUCUUUUUAGUAAGUUAGGCAAACAUUUUUAGACACCAUAGCAAUCACAUUAAUAAGUAUAUGGUUUUAUAGUAUAUUUUUUUAUUUUUUGUAUAUUUUUGGAUCAAAGGUCGCGAUAUAUUAUUGUAGAUGCUGUCUAAUAAGCCUAACUUAAUCCCUUCAUUAUUUUAAUUAUCUUUUUUGUUUUUUAACCUAAAAUUAUUUCAUGAUGUUCUUUUUCACUCUUACUAAAAAGGUAAGACUUAGUUAUGUUUCAGUUUGGUCAAAAUUUGGGAAUUCAGAUAAGUGAAGUUUUGUCAUGAAUUUAGUUUUGGUGGCUAAAAUUUUGUACAAAAAGUCAAUUAACUUAAAAAAAAAAAACUUAGGCUAAUAUAUCUCCUCUAAUAUUGGCUCACAUUAAUGAUCCAAAAAUUGUAUUAAUUUGGAGCUACUUGUUGGAGGUUGUUAUUAAAAAUUCAAUAGUGAGGUGUAUGUGAAUUUUCAAUGACGAAACAGAGAUAAGAUUGAACUCUAAAGAGACAUUCGAGAUGCUGCCACGCAAAACUCUAACCAGAAAUAUUGUAAACAAAUAAUAUGACAUCAUUAUGUUUCAAUUAUUCAUGCUUUGUUUUAAUGCGUUCUAAUCUCGAGAGCUUAAUUUAAUAUUGGAAAAUCAAAUAUGUUGCUGCAGCUAAUGCCUAUAAUGGGAUGUUAAAUGAAAUAGUGAGGUUAUUUAAGAUACAAAUUGAAAAUAUAAAUCAAAGUAAGACUUAGAAAUUAAUUUGACGAAAAAAACAGUGUUAGAAGAAGAAAGGAAAUAGAGAAAAAAAAAUUCAAUAGUAAAAAAAUUUUAAAUUAUGGAGGUCAUAUAUUUUAUCACCACAAUAACAACAGAAUUACAUUAUUCUAGUCUCCAGUAUUUCUCUGUUUAACUAACACCCAUUGACUUAAGAAGCUUCACAAAUCAAAAUUAAAAUCGACUUUAGACUAGUGGUGAUUAUAGACUUAAUAGUCAACUUGUGAGUUGGAAAAAAAGAAAAAAUAUAUAUAGAAACCAAGUCUUAAACAAACUCAAUUUGAAUAAAACCAAGGGUAUUCCAUUCCAUUCCCUUUCAUUCAGGCACUUUUGUUCAUACAAGGCACAUAGAGAUGGUUUGCAAGGAAAUAUGUAUUGAUUUCAUGGGGCUUCUGAUGGCGCUGGUUAUUGCUCUGGCCCUCAUGCUCAUCUGCUCCACCUCGCCAAGGCGGAGGGUUGUCGUCCACCGCUGGCCUUACUAGCUUCUUCUUCAUAAUAUGGCUCUGCUGUGUGUAUCUUGUCACCAGAGUUUUUUCUGUUAUCUCAAGAGUUUGUAUGAGCCGGGUAUUUGAUCAAGUGUUCAUUACUAUUUUUAUAAGUCUUUGUGUAAAACCAUAUACUUUCUUCUAUAUCAAAUAAAAUUUUCAGUUUAGAAA